This 376-nucleotide ribosomal RNA is filed under the name uncultured organism. Its description in RNAcentral is "partial 16S ribosomal RNA". It matches the Rfam family "Bacterial small subunit ribosomal RNA", at positions 525 to 896 of the family's 1533-position model. The record is from RNAcentral.
GGAGGGGGGGCCAGCGUUGUUCGGAAUUAUUGGGCGUAAAGGGCGCGUAGGCGGGCCCGGCAAGUCAGUUGUGAAAUCCCUCGGGCUCAACCGAGGAACUGCGACUGAAACUGCCGGGCUUGAGUCCCGGAGAGGGUAGCGGAAUUCCCAGUGUAGCGGUGAAAUGCGUAGAUAUUGGGAGGAACACCGGUGGCGAAGGAGGCUACCUGGACGGGUACUGACGCUGAGGCGCGAAAGCGUGGGGAGCAAACAGGAUUAGAUACCCUGGUAGUCCACGCUGUAAACGAUGGGCACUUGGUGUUGCGGGUAUCGACCCCUGCAGUGCCGAAGCUAACGCAUUAAGUGCCCCGCCUGGGGAGUACGGUCGCAAAGGCUG